UCAGCAUGCAAGCAAAAUCAAAAGUAACUGCAGUAGUCUAAUCCCUUUUGAAUAAGAUGUGUGGAGGGUUCCAAAGUUAAUAGGGGGUGGAUGCUGGACUCAGUCCAUUUGAGUAAACAAAGCUCAAAAACGAGCUGAGUUAUUACAUGGAAGAAAAACAACCUUACCCAUGAUUUACUAACAACAGUAAUUGCUCCAGACUCCUACAGGAGAGGGCAUAUCCAGUGUGAAAUGUAGCCUGCAUUCUGCCACACCAGCUCCAAGC
Rhineura floridana is the source of this 265-nucleotide long non-coding RNA. RefSeq lists it as uncharacterized. The record is from RefSeq and is a predicted model, not a curated record. The transcript has 3 exons. Lineage: Eukaryota; Metazoa; Chordata; Lepidosauria; Squamata; Rhineuridae.